CAAUAUAUGGAUAAUACCAGUAAAUCUGAUAAUAAUACAUUGGAAAAAAAUUGUGAUCAGAGUAGCCUAUGAUAUGGGAGCAAUACCUUAAGAUUUGCCUUAAGUUAACAUUUGUAAAGAUUUACCCUUAAGAUUUGCAUUAAGAUAUCCCAAUUAAAUCACGGUGAAAUGAUAGGGACUCUCUGAUACAGUGUACACAAGGAGGAAAAAAAAUACAUAGAAUUAUACCAUGCAAUGGAACUAGAUUUUGCUAAUAUUUAUCUAUUAAAGUUUCGCAUGUGUUUGCCUCAUAUAUUUCCUACCAUGGCCACUCUGAAUGACCGAGAGAUUCAAAUCCUGAUAUAUAUUCAUAAGACUUUUAAUAAUACUAGAUAUUCAUUCACAAUGGGUUUCAGUCCUAUCAACUAGAUGGUAGGGUAUUGGCCUACCAUGGUUUUUACGGGUACAGAGGAUCAGGGUUCGAUCCUGGAGAGGUAGCCUGAGAAAUAGCUACCACUUCUAAGGAAGGCAGCAGGCGCGCAACGUUCCCAAUGGCUGAAAGGCUGAGGACGUUAUGGAACAUAGCAAUACCUUACUUUUUAGUGAGGCAAUUGAAAUGGGGGAGGUUUAAAUCACCCACCGAGUAACAAUUGGAGGACAAGUCUG
RNAcentral lists this ribosomal RNA (645 nucleotides) under Alwisia lloydiae. Its description in RNAcentral is "bacterial SSU rRNA". It matches the Rfam family "Eukaryotic small subunit ribosomal RNA", at positions 133 to 563 of the family's 1831-position model. Lineage: Eukaryota; Evosea; Eumycetozoa; Liceales; Reticulariaceae. The record is from RNAcentral.